Long non-coding RNA from Oncorhynchus masou masou (cherry salmon), 4491 nucleotides. RefSeq lists it as uncharacterized. NCBI's taxonomy places the organism in Eukaryota, Metazoa, Chordata, Actinopteri, Salmoniformes, Salmonidae. The record is from RefSeq and is a predicted model, not a curated record. The transcript is spliced from 4 exons.
UCUCUCCCUCUUUCUCGCUGUCUUCCUCACGCAACCCUUGCUCUCUCUCCACCUCUCUCUCCCUCUCUCUCUCCCUCUCUCUCUCACUCUCUCUCACUCUCUCUCUCUCACUCGGUUGUGUCUGGAACAAAAACGAUAGGGGACGUACAUUUUGAGAGGCGCAGAGAAUAGGCGAUCACGCAGAGUAGGAACAAAAGCCGUCUGUUAUGAAAGGACCAACGAGUGAAGCUGCAGUGUUUGGGUUUCUGGCCACGUUCGCCGAUACCGCGUGAGUGGAGGGGAGAAACAACAGAUUCCAAUCGCUCUCUCGUGGUCUAGGCUGGGGAGAAUACUGCGUGUGACUCCAUUUAGUACAAUAACCUUAUUUAUCUCUCUUGCCAUUCAAGCACAAGUCAUAUUUUUUGGGAACAUUUUAGUAUGAUAAACUUCAUUGAUUAAUUUGAUGAGCAAUAUAAACUUUUGAAAUAUCUUUAAAAUUAACCAAAAAGGAUAUCUGGUACUAUUUUGGAUGAUAAAUAUGCCCAUUGAAGAAGAAAAAGUGAUUGUACAUACUGGAAGGUGCACCUGUCAGAAAACAAAAUGGCAUCUCAUGUUACCUUGAGGUCUCAGAUACCAGGGACUGGGAGGAGGAGGGCCCAGGUCAAACCUACAAGGAUCAACCACCAAUUUACAGAUGGAGGAUGAAAAAAAGAAAGAGAGUGGGUGGAUGGAGUGAAGGAUGAAGGCUGAGUAGACAACUGAACAGAGACAGGCCCUAUGCGGCAGUUCAUUCGUUCAUCGCCAUGGGCUCUUGUCCUCCUCUCUCCUCCCCUGGUCUAUACUCCCAUCACAGGGUCGUUUGGAGUGUGUGAGGCCCAAAAACAGAGCUUGUGAGUGGGCUGGCGAUGCAGGAAGAAGUCCCUGCUGGUUACCAGCACCUCUGGAGCUGACGGCAAAAUAAAUCAAUAUGGAGAAGAGAAUGUUACCCCACAGCCUAGAGGCCUGAAGACCUCCAGAGGAGAGGCCCAUCGCAACCUUGCUCAGCCCCAGCCAAAGUUCCUGAGACUGGGCCUGGGUCCCUACCCGCUCUUGACGAAGGAAGGCGCUGGAUUGGACCAACCGGAUCACAAGACCUUGUGGAGCGCUCCCAUUGGUUCACCUAAGAAAAGAGCGGUAAAAAUACUCCUUUGACUUCAAGCUUUCUAUGAAGAUUCAUGGAAUGUUGCAUAACAUGGACAUCUAAAACGGGACAAAAUCACAAUACAGAAAUUGCCUCUUCAAUAUUGCUAUUUAAUCUUUAUGUACACUCACCUCCGUUUAUCAUAGCUGACUGUUGCUUUCUGUUCUCUGAAACCAUUCUAUUUUUUUUUUUUUGCAAUGAUCACAUAUAAUUAGUUUAGUUUUUUGAAGAUUUUUUUCUGAAAAAAAUCAGUGUGUAAGUAUAAUAUCUAAUUGAUGCCGAGUACAGUAAUAAUAGAACAGAGAAAUAUAUCAAUAAAACUGCUUUGUUUUCUGAAAGCAUUUUGAAUCUUUUUUUUAUAUAUAUGUCAAAUAAUGUUUUGACUCGUGGCUUUAGUUAAUUAUCACCUCCAAAGAGGUAUCUUUGUAAUUUAGCAAAGAAAACCACCCCUGUUUUGAAUUCAAAUUCCACUUCACAUAUCACAUGCAAUAGAAUAAAUAUAGUAAUCAGAGACUUUAACACCCAGUAGAACCCAGCUUCAUAAAUGAAUACAGAAUCUCAAUGGAUGAAAGGAAUAGUCAAAUCUCUUUGGAGCUGACUCUGCCAGUCCAGCAGGCAUUGCUGGCAUUACCCAAUCCCAGUGGUGUAAAGUACUUUAGUAAAAAAUACUUUAAAGCACUACUUAAGUAGUUUUUUGGGGUACCUGUACAUUACUUUACAUUUUUUGACAACUCUGACUUUUACUCCACUACAUUCCUAAAGAAAAUAAUGUACUUUUUACUCCUGACAUUUUCCCUGACACACAAAAGUACUCCUUACAUGUUUAAUGCUUAGCAGGACAGGAAAUUAUCAAGAGAACAUCCCUGGCCACCCCUACUGCCUCUGAUCUGGCAGACUCACUAAACACAAAUGCUUCGUUUGUAAAUUAUGUCUGACUGUUGAAGUGUGCCCUUGGCUAUCUGUACAUUUAAAAAAUAAGAAAAUCGUGCCGUAUGGGUUGCAUAAUAUACGGAAUCUAAAAUGAUUUAUACUUUUACUUUUGAUACUUAAGUAUAUUUUAGCGAUUACAUUUACUGUUGACACUUGAGUAUAUUUAUAACCAAGUGCUUCUUAGACUUUUACUCAAGUAGUAUUUUACCCCGUGACUUUCACUCUAUAACUUGAGUCAUUUUCUAUUAAGGCAUCUUUACUUUUGGGUACUUUUUGGGUACUUUUUCCACCACUGCCCAGUGGAUUCAAGAACUCGUUAAUUUAAAGCUAUAAAGAUGUUAUUACUGUGAAGCCUGCCUGGUUUUUCAUACUGUAUGUAGGCUACUAUAUGGAGAUAAGGAGUUAAAAAUCAAUGGCAAUUCAAGGAUUUAAAUUUGCGAUUGGUGUGACAGGCCUAUUCGUUUUGGAAAGUGUAAAGUCCUAUUUAAUUUUUGGUUUAAAAGUGUAGACCUAGGCUGUACGCUACAGGUUAUACGCCAACAUUGUAGGCAUAGACAAGGCACACAAAAGCCAUGUAGACAUUGGUGUAAAUUGCUGAGGUAUAAUAAGAAGGUGUAAAUUACUGAGGUAUAAUAAGAAGGUGUAAAUUACUGAGGUAUAAUAAGAAGGUGUAAAUUACUGAGGUAUAAUAAGAAGGUGUAAAUUGCUGAGGUAUAAUAAGGUGUAAAUUACUGAGGUAUAAUAAGGUGUAAAUUACUGAGGUAUAAUAAGGUGUAAAUUACUGAGGUAUAAGAAGGUGUAAAUUACUGAGGUAUAAUAAGGUGUAAAUUACUGAGGUAUAAUAAGAAGGUGUAAAUUGCUGAGGUAUAAUAAGGUGUAAAUUACUGAGGUAUAAUAAGAAGGUGUAAAUUGCUGAGGUAUAAUAAGAAGGUGUAAAUUACUGAGGUAUAAGAAGGUGUAAAUUACUGAGGUAUAAUAAGGUGUAAAUUACUGAGGUAUAAGAAGGUGUAAAUUACUGAGGUAUAAGAAGGUGUAAAUGGAGCGUUUUUUGAUUAUUAUGCCAUCUAAAUAAUCUGUAAAAUCUGUAGAAAAUAUUCAUACAAUGUUCUAACAAUUGUAGAAGUUGUUAUAACCCCUUGAUGUUAACAACGCCAAUCAUCCUAAAACUGGAGUUAAUAAUUGUGUAGGCUAAUAACAAAGUUUAGCCUAAUGUAACAUUAACUUUUUGUUCACCCUAAAUAUUUUUAUCUUUGAUUGAUUAUCUAAACAGGAAAGUAUAUAAAAAAUGAAUACAGGUUGCAGUUUGAAUGUUUUUUUAAGCUCUUGAAAAUGUUUAGACAUCGAAGUUUUAUUUUAAACAGUGCUGAAUAUAUAUUUUUUUAUAGGCUGGCUAUAUUAUGCUCCCAUAAAGGAUCACACGCAUUUUAACAUUGUCAUAAUUUUUCAUAUUAUUCAGCAAGAAAAUUUCAUAUGCAACAUAUAUCUAAAUAAUCAAUACAAUUGCAGCAAAUAAAACAAAACGUUUUUCUUUAUCGAAUACGUUUAUUAAAAACGAUAAAUGAUUUUAAAUGCUAAGGAGAAAUAUCUGAGAGUAUAUAGUUAUUGUCUAAAUAACUAAAUAAAUGUCUAUGGGAGCAAGAAACAGAAAGCCAAAUUUAAGGGAUUUUUUUGAUACCUUGACGUUUAUUGAAAGCACAUAAUUCAUAUGCCAAACUCCUAUGUAGUUCUCUAGCCACUAAUAAUAGUGUGUGCUGACCAUACACAUCCUCAUACUGUACAUGCAUAUAUCCUCCUCUCUACUGUUUGUCCAACGCAAACAUCCAUCUAAUACAUUAGCCCCAUCAUUAUAAGGUCAACACCAAAUACAGAGCUUUCCCACCUCAAUACGUGGGGCGGCAGGGUAGCCUAGUGGUUAGAGCGUUGGGCUAGUAACCCAAAGGUUGCAAGUUCGAAUACCCGAGCUGACAAGGUACAAAUCUGUCGUUCUGCCCCUGAACAGGCAGUUAACCCACUGUUCCUUGGCCGUCAUUGAAAAUAAGAAUUUGUUCUUAACUGACUUGCCUAGUAUUUUAAAGGUAAAAAAUACAAACCAGUGUGGCCAAUUACAUCUGGCUGCUAAAGGAAGCCUGUUGACAUUUUUUUUGUAAAUUAAAGUAAUUGAAUAGCCUAAAAAUGUUGCCCUCAGAAACACAAGUAUAUCAAAUAAAAAAUAUUUAAAAACGUACUGCGCAUAAUAACAUUUUCACAUUUUGCUUGGAUGUCUUAUGAUAUAAAAAUGAAAGAUGAAAAUGCUCUUCGUUUUAAUUGAAUAAUUAAACAUUUACUUUACCUUGAUAUAUAGAAAACACUGAUUUAUUUCCAUGUUUUUAUCCCAUUCGACCUGGUCUCUCCCACUGGUGGAA